CAUAUAUAAGCCCUUGUCGCCCGGCGUCAUCUAUAUUCCCCCGCGUUCCAUCGAUCGUGGUAUCGCCGCGUACGUGGCUCGCGACCACAUGAUGACCGUCAGCUGCAGGCUCGUGGCGGUCGCCGUGGCGCUGGCGCUGGCGGCGGCGCUCCUGUCGUCAUCGCCACUGCACGGCGACGUGCGGGAGGUGGUGGAGAUACGCGACGUGGAGCUGAUCCCCGUGGACGGCGGCGCCGCGGGGCCGGAGAGCGUGGCGUUCGGCGUGGGCGGCGAGGGCCCCUACGCGGGCGUGUCGGACGGGAGGGUCAUCCGGUGGCUCCCGGAGGAGGGCCGCUGGGUCGACCACUCCUCCGCCGCCGCGCCAGAGCUAUUGGAUAGUUGCAGAGGAUCCCAGGACCCGAUGAAGGAGCACGAGUGUGGGCGCCCGCUGGGCCUCAAGUUCAACAAUAAAACUGGGGAGUUGUACGUCGCAGAUUCUUAUUUUGGGCUGAGAGUGGUCAGCCCCGGGGAUAACGUUUCAAGGCUGAUUGGGCCUGGACAGCCUGGGAGCCCCUUCAGCUUCGCCAACGGCGUCGAGAUUGACCAGGAAACUGGAGUUGUCUACUUCACCGAGACCAGCACGAGGUUCCACAGAAGGCAGUUCUUGAACAUUGUCAUAUCCGGUGACGCCACUGGCAGAUUGCUCAAAUAUGACCCUAACACCAAGGAGGUUCAAGUCUUGGUCGACGGCCUGGCAUUCCCCAACGGCCUUCUCAUGAGUGAAGACGGAUCCCACCUUCUCCUCGCCGAGACCACAACUUGCAAGAUCCACCGAUACUGGCUCAAGACACCCAAGGCCUCAACCCUUGAGUAACUCGUGCAACUACCGGGCUUCCCAGACAACAUCAAGGCGAGCCCGAGAGGCGGCUUCUGGGUCGGCCUCCAUGGCAAGCGAGGUAAGAUCGCCGAGUGGUCCACCUCUUUCCCGUGGUUGAGGAGGUUGGUCAUGAAGCUGCCACCCCAACGCGUGCAGCGUGUCAUGGCGUUCCUGAGCCGGUUUGGAAGUCAGGUGAUUACGUUGAGGGUCAGCGAGGAGGGGAAGGUGUUGGAAGAGGUAAUCGUGCAUGACGCGGCGAGGAAGAUGUUUGGAUCCAUCAGUGAACUGGAGGAAAGGUGUUGGAAAAUUAGGCAAGUUCAUGAUUAAUUCCAGUAAAUAAUUCAUGACUAGAAGAGAUACUAACAUGCAAAAAUCUAGCAAACUAGAAGAACAGCAAGACAUGCAUAACAGUAGCAAACACGUAACAGUAGCUGUAGAAACAGACAUGAACAAAGGAUGUUAGACGUACUGAUCGUUAGCUAUUAUGGGUGCGACAGUGUUGAUGACGAUGUUGGCGACGAUCUGCUGCUGACAGCGAUGAAUACGACGAUGAGUAGCACCGCCCGACUUGGACGAAAGACGACCCGUGAUGAAGAAUUUGAGCAGUCGCGCACAGCGCUUCCCAAAAACCUAAUUCGUCCUCUCCCGGUGCAGGAUCGCAAAGACGAACGGUUCCGGAGACCUGCUCUCCCACGCGCCGAUGCACGCCGGCGUUUGGGAUGGAGUAGACUACGAUGGCGGCGCAAGUUGUGAGAUGAGGCAAAACCCUAGAUGUUUUUCGGUGUAUCUCUGGCCGCAGCCGAUAGCUGUAUAUAUAUUAGGACUAGAGGCGGUAUUGUGUCGCGACCACAAUCCUAAACCAAUUCGGUUUCUAAUUCGUAUACUUACCGAAAAAGAAAUCAAAAAACUUGUCUACCAAGACAUAAAAAUAAAACGGC
Molecule: ribosomal RNA, 1794 nt
Filed under: Triticum aestivum (bread wheat)
Lineage: Eukaryota; Viridiplantae; Streptophyta; Magnoliopsida; Poales; Poaceae
Description: partial small subunit ribosomal RNA
Source: RNAcentral